UUUCCCCCUUUUUGGGAAAGUUUUGUUUAGCAUGAUUCAGAAUAGUAGUGACUCUUUUAGAAAGAUCAUGGAUAAGUUCCAACGAGCUGAGCAAACUUAUCAAGAGUUAAGAAGGAAAAGAGAAACUAACAUUGAGGAAGAAAUGAAAGAAAUUAUAGAACGGUUACAAAAGUUUCCUUGUUAUUCUGAGGGGCCAUAAAGAUAGAGUUUAAACUUUAUUAAAACAAAGGUAAAUGUUGAAUGCAUACUUGGUGCCCACAAGUCUGGCAGUAUAACUGCAGUUUUCUAAACUAUUGUUUGCAGUUGAGAACUGUUUCCUAGACUGUAUGUUCAGCUUCCCUCCUUGCAAGGGACAUUGGUGGGGUAAUGAAUAGAGCUGGAUGAUUGCCAAUUAUCAUGUACCUGCUCUAACUGCUUAAAUCUGUGCCAAGAAGUAAAGCUUUCUGCAGCAGC
Molecule: long non-coding RNA, 453 nt
Filed under: Rattus norvegicus (Norway rat)
Lineage: Eukaryota; Metazoa; Chordata; Mammalia; Rodentia; Muridae
Description: long non-coding RNA NONRATT009231
Source: RNAcentral